This 29-nucleotide non-coding RNA is filed under the name Homo sapiens (human). The record is from RNAcentral. Lineage: Eukaryota; Metazoa; Chordata; Mammalia; Primates; Hominidae.
UGGGAAGUCAAGGGUGCAGUGAGCCAAGA